CCUACGGGAGGCAGCAGUAAGGAAUAUUGGACAAUGCUCGCAAGAGUGAUCCAGCCAUGCCGCGUGCAGGAAGAAUGCCCUAUGGGUAGUAAACUGCUUUUGAACUAGAGAAAACCCCAGUACGUGUACUGGGCUGAUAGUAUAGUUAGAAUAAGCAUCGGCUAACUUCGUGCCAGCAGCCGCGGUAAGACGAAGGAUGCAAGCGUUAUCCGGAUUCAUUGGGUUUAAAGGGAGCGUAGGUGGACUGAUAAGUCAGUGGUGAAAUCUCCGAGCUUAACUCGGAAAUUGCCAUUGAUACUGUUGGUCUUGAGUACAGUUGCUGUGGGCGGAAUAUGACAUGUAGUGGUGAAAUACAUAGAGAUGUCAUAGAACACCGAUUGCGAAGGCAGCUCACAAAGCUGUAACUGACACUGAGGCUCGAAAGUGCGGGGAUCAAACAGGAUUAGAUACCCUGGUAGUCCGCACCGUAAACGAUGAUUACUCGCUGCUAGGGGGCAACCUUUAGUGGCUUAGCGAAAGCGAUAAGUAAUCCACCUGGGGAGUACGCCGGCAACGGUGAAACUCAAAAUGAAUUGACGGCUUGAGACGNGCGAGCGACACAGGGAGAGG
RNAcentral lists this ribosomal RNA (609 nucleotides) under uncultured bacterium. RNAcentral describes it as "bacterial SSU rRNA". It matches the Rfam family "Bacterial small subunit ribosomal RNA", at positions 338 to 944 of the family's 1533-position model. The record is from RNAcentral.